Molecule: long non-coding RNA, 709 nt
Filed under: Rattus norvegicus (Norway rat)
Lineage: Eukaryota; Metazoa; Chordata; Mammalia; Rodentia; Muridae
Description: long non-coding RNA NONRATT012908
Source: RNAcentral
CACCUUUAUGAGUAGCACCCAAUCUUCUCAGAUAUUCAAGCCCCUUCUUUUCUCGUGCUUUCUUUGGCGUGUUUCCACAUCAGGGCCUCUGUCUUUAUGCUUCUAUGCUUCAUGUUGCUUUAAACUCCUCCUUCUCGUUCUUCAGGACUUAGUUAACUGUUGCCCCCAUGGCGAUGCCACCUCUGAACAACUCUUCUGUAAACCUCAACAUCCCCCUGUUCCUGGGGAUAGCAAUAGUUUGCCAGGGGCUACUCUUCGGGCUUUGCAUUCAUUAACUUUUAAUUUUUCCCAAGCUCAGGAGGUAUAGAUACUGUUUUUAAAUGAUAACACCCAUCUUAGGAACUGAGUAACAGUUCCCAUCAGGUAACUGAGUGUAAAGAGAAAAAUGGCUGGCCAGGCCAUUAGAGCAGGUGGCUUCAAAGUUUCACCCUGUGCUUCCAGUUCUAGUCAAGACUCUUGACCACUCAGUCAGCCAGAGUCUCUUGAUGACCUGCUUGUUUCCUCUCUGCUCUUCUCAUGUCUGGACAGUGCUCUUUACAAAGGUUUCUGUACUGUCAGCCUUGUCACUGGGAAGCAAGCAACACGUAUGUGAGUAGAGACUAUUCUUCCAUUGGAAGAAAUUAAAGUGUUUAUAUCAAUGGCUAUUCUUCUUUUAUUACCCAGACUUGAUCUACAUCUCUAUGGCCACAGAUGAUAUGAAAACCUCUUU